GCCGGUGUGGCGGAAUGGCAGACGCUGCGCACUCAAAAUGCGCUGUCCGAAAGGGCGUGUGGGUUCGAGUCCCACCACCGGUACC
RNAcentral lists this transfer RNA (85 nucleotides) under Herbiconiux flava. RNAcentral's name for it is "tRNA-Leu". It matches the Rfam family "tRNA". From Rfam's summary of the family: Transfer RNA (tRNA) molecules are approximately 80 nucleotides in length. Their secondary structure includes four short double-helical elements and three loops (D, anti-codon, and T loops). Further hydrogen bonds mediate the characteristic L-shaped molecular structure. tRNAs have two regions of fundamental functional importance: the anti-codon, which is responsible for specific mRNA codon recognition, and the 3' end, to which the tRNAs corresponding amino acid is attached (by aminoacyl-tRNA synthetases). tRNAs cope with the degeneracy of the genetic code in two manners: having more than one tRNA (with a specific anti-codon) for a particular amino acid; and 'wobble' base-pairing, i.e. permitting non-standard base-pairing at the 3rd anti-codon position. Lineage: Bacteria; Bacillati; Actinomycetota; Actinomycetes; Micrococcales; Microbacteriaceae. The record is from RNAcentral.